Molecule: long non-coding RNA, 215 nt
Organism: Clupea harengus (Atlantic herring)
Lineage: Eukaryota; Metazoa; Chordata; Actinopteri; Clupeiformes; Clupeidae
Exons: 3
Source: RefSeq, a predicted model, not a curated record
CUGGCCUCGUUAGGGGCCUAUGGAGGCACUCUGGGGCCCCUCAACAGGAGCCUGGGGCUGGGGGGGAGCUUCCUAAGUUCAGUUCCAGAUCCCCAGAGCAAUCGAGUGGAAGCCUAUCUGGCCAAGCUCCUAGCUCAAAAGUCUGUCUCUCACCUCUCCUCACUUCAGCCAGAUUCAUGACCAGAUGCAGAAUGAAUUGGAGAAAAAACAUAUCA